UGGAGAUUCAUCAUCAUUGUGGACCACGCCGAGAGCAGCAGUAUCAUCUGCAGGUUUAAACAUCAAGCAGAGGCACUCGAAGGUAGAGUUGAUGGACUCAUUUGAGCAGCAGGGAAACGCAGGAGGGGAGCAAGAUAUUCCGAAGGGAUAUGGCGGCUGCUGCUGAGAGUGACAGGGCUGCAGUCCUCGAGGCAGGUUUCCAUGCCUUUUUCUUCAGAGCUGAAACAAUGGGUUGGACGUGUGCCUGUGAUCGGAAGCUGAAAUCCCAGUGUCUGCAGUGUGGUAUCACCACUGGAUCCCUGAGAGAGACCCCUAACCCUCAAUUACUCCAGUGACUGGCUGACCCUGUUCUCUUAAAAAAAUAAAAGGGUAUUGAUUUGAAUAAAAGUAUCUGCCAGAUCAGGGGUGUCAAACUUCAGUCCUGGGGGGUCAGAGCCCUACAUAUUUUUGGGUUUCCCCUCAUUUAACACAUCUGUUUCAACUCCUUGCACCUCCUUGUGCUAAUUACCACACAGCUCUUCAUCCCUAUGAUAGAUAAACCUUUUUAAAAUUAUAUUCUUGGAUAUAUCUACUUUGAACAGUGCUGUUCUUCCUGGGUUGGGUCUUUGGUCAAAAUGGGCCUCCGGAACCAGUUUGAUUGUUACUUCCCUCCACACUCUCUUUUCACUUGGUGUUAAUCCCAGCCAUACCCUGCUGCUUAAAUGAGGCAUAACGCUGGCAACAUGAGACUGGGAACCAGUGUGAUGA
This is a long non-coding RNA of Brienomyrus brachyistius, 747 nucleotides long. RefSeq lists it as uncharacterized. The transcript has 3 exons. Lineage: Eukaryota; Metazoa; Chordata; Actinopteri; Osteoglossiformes; Mormyridae. The record is from RefSeq and is a predicted model, not a curated record.